This 92-nucleotide transfer RNA is filed under the name Amycolatopsis thailandensis. RNAcentral's name for it is "tRNA-Ser". It matches the Rfam family "tRNA". From Rfam's summary of the family: Transfer RNA (tRNA) molecules are approximately 80 nucleotides in length. Their secondary structure includes four short double-helical elements and three loops (D, anti-codon, and T loops). Further hydrogen bonds mediate the characteristic L-shaped molecular structure. tRNAs have two regions of fundamental functional importance: the anti-codon, which is responsible for specific mRNA codon recognition, and the 3' end, to which the tRNAs corresponding amino acid is attached (by aminoacyl-tRNA synthetases). tRNAs cope with the degeneracy of the genetic code in two manners: having more than one tRNA (with a specific anti-codon) for a particular amino acid; and 'wobble' base-pairing, i.e. permitting non-standard base-pairing at the 3rd anti-codon position. Lineage: Bacteria; Bacillati; Actinomycetota; Actinomycetes; Pseudonocardiales; Pseudonocardiaceae. The record is from RNAcentral.
GGAGGGCUGGCCGAGCCGGGCAAGGCACCGGAUUGCUAAUCCGAGGUCCGGAACAUCGCGUUCCGGCGCGCGUUCGAGUCGCGCGCCCUCCG